GGUGAACCUGCGGAAGGAUCAUUAUUGUAGGGACUCCGGUCCCCUCAAGAUGCAACCCGUGCCUUUUUUGUAGCCCGUAACGUUUCCUCGGCAGCCCCGCUGCCAGCGAGGACCCCCCCCAAACCAAACCUGCAAUCUCAGUAAAAAAUUCAGAAACCCCCCAAAAUUUAAAACUUUCAACAAUGGAUCUCUUGGCUCUGGCAUCGAUGAAGAACGCAGCGAAAUGCGAUAAGUAGUGUGAAUUGCAGAAUUCAGUGAAUCAUCGAAUCUUUGAACGCACAUUGCGCCCUUUGGUAUUCCUUAGGGCAUGCCUGUUCGAGCGUCAUUUCAAAAUUCAAGCUCAGCUUGGUGAUGGGCGUCUGUCCCGCCUCAGCGCGCGGACUCGCCUCAAAAGUAGUUGGCAGCUCCCUUAUCGGCACUGAACGCAGCAAAUUUGCGGGACGCACCGAAGAAAGGGGCUUACCAGUAAGCAAACCACCCCAGAUUGACCUCGGAUCAGGUAGGGAUACCCGCUGAACUUAAGCAUAUCAAUAAGCGGAGGAA
Molecule: ribosomal RNA, 543 nt
Filed under: Lophiostoma macrostomum
Lineage: Eukaryota; Fungi; Ascomycota; Dothideomycetes; Pleosporales; Lophiostomataceae
Description: eukaryotic LSU rRNA
Rfam family: 5.8S ribosomal RNA (bases 172-325)
Source: RNAcentral